AGAAGAUGGUGCUAAGGGCACGAUUGUAUUCUUUGAUGGUUGGGCUUUUGGAAAACGAGUGAGUAUUGUGCGUGUGUUUGGUAUUGUGCGUGUUGAUGAUGCGAUGGAAAGGGUUGGAUAUGGUGGUGAGAGAGGAGGUGGGUUAGAUGAAAAGGGGUAGCACGGUGAGGCUGAUGAUGAUGGCACCGACGAUGAGAUAUUGGGGUUGAGGGAAGAUCCGUGCUUAGGCAGGUGAUGGUGGUGAGUCCCUAUUCUAUGGCUGUAGUCUCCUCUUUCCCCUGUUUACCCUUUCUUUCCUUUUCCCAUAUUGUAUUUUUUUGUUGGAAAUGUUAUUACCAGCGCGAGAGAAAAUACUACUGAGGGGGAGCAAUGGAAGUGAAUUCCUGUUUUUUUCUGGUGAAGGCCAAUCCUCCC
RNAcentral lists this long non-coding RNA (414 nucleotides) under Vigna radiata. Its description in RNAcentral is "long non-coding RNA (VRAD_LNC005630)". Lineage: Eukaryota; Viridiplantae; Streptophyta; Magnoliopsida; Fabales; Fabaceae. The record is from RNAcentral.